Molecule: long non-coding RNA, 630 nt
Filed under: Olea europaea (common olive)
Lineage: Eukaryota; Viridiplantae; Streptophyta; Magnoliopsida; Lamiales; Oleaceae
Description: long non-coding RNA (OEUR_LNC015171)
Source: RNAcentral
GAUAUGUAGAGUUCAGGAUUGCAUGGUAGAUUUUUCUCAGGAAUCUCGAAGUUCUUCGAUGUUUCUUUGUUCUUGAUAACAUAUUUCAUGUACAGCCACCUGUACAGUAAGUUUCCUGUGUGUUCAGAAACUAGGUUAAGACUACGGACUAAUUAUCCAUAUUUGUUCUGUGAAAUGUUGUAUGAUUUAAGGAUGCUUUUGUAUUCUGUUUUUUACAUUUACCUAUUAGUGGAUCUUCUGCAGUGCAAGUAGAUAUGUAGAGUUCAGGAUUGCAUGGUAGAUUUUUCUCAGGAAUCUCGAAGUUCUUCGAUGUUUCUUUGUUCUUGAUAACAUAUUUCAUGUACAGCCACCUGUACAGUAAGUUUCCUGUGUGUUCAGAAACUAGGUUAAGACUACGGACUAAUUAUCCAUAUUUGUUCUGUGAAAUGUUGUAUGAUUUAAGGAUGCUUUUGUAUUCUGUUUUUUACAUUUACCUCUAAUGUUCCUUAUACUCGGACGAGGUAAUUAUUUGAUUCUUAUUAACUGAAUUUUUAAGAAUUUGGGCUUUAUUCGUGUGUAAUACUCAGUCUCUGGCCUUUAGAUUCGAAAUUGGGUGUGUUUCUAUGCUUACACAGGCCAAUAUAUUUUUAU